CCCCUCGUGCAUCGAGUUUUGAUUUCCUUUGAGUUGGAAACCUUUCCUUUCGCAUAUGGAUCCAAACCCAAUCACCUGGUUUGAAUACAACUUUCUUGCGACCCUUAUUGGCCUGUUUCUCAUAUAUGCUGUUACGCUUCUCAAUAUGCUCACGCGCUUUCACGUGUAUUGAUUUAACCAUUUUAGCCUUCGCUUUUCCAUCUAAAUUAGACAACUCGUUCAAAGGUAAAGGCAUUAAAUCUAAUACAGUUAAUGGAUUAAAACCAUACACAACCUCAAAAGGUGAAUAACCAGUAGAAGAGUGGACUGCU
This 311-nucleotide long non-coding RNA is filed under the name Manihot esculenta (cassava). RNAcentral's name for it is "long non-coding RNA (MESC_LNC011475)". Lineage: Eukaryota; Viridiplantae; Streptophyta; Magnoliopsida; Malpighiales; Euphorbiaceae. The record is from RNAcentral.